GUGGACCGACCCCCCACCCCCACCUCCCGGGAUUACAGCCCGGGCCAACAGACCCCCAGUAUACUGCAGGCAAAAUGAAUGAAUCGGGACUGUAAUUACCUAUUCCUUUGUCUUGGCCUCGCGCAUGCGCCGGAGAGCAGGGUGUGGAGGGCCCGGCAGCCCCAUCCCAUCUCCAUCAUCCAGCCACCCACUCCCCUCCCGAGCCGAGGAACAAAGGCGUUUGCCCUAAAUGUUGCGGGAA
RNAcentral lists this long non-coding RNA (241 nucleotides) under Homo sapiens (human). RNAcentral's name for it is "HSALNT0084975". Lineage: Eukaryota; Metazoa; Chordata; Mammalia; Primates; Hominidae. The record is from RNAcentral.